CUGACGGAAUAGGCAUUUGAAGGAAUUAGCGUGGAUACUAAGGCAAAUCCGAGUAUUUAGACGUGAGAACUGAUAGGGAAGAGAUAUAGCGAUAUAUUUUAAGUUACAGAUCCUACACUGCCGAGAAAAACUUCUAUUUAGAGAGUUAGUGCCCGUACUGAAAACCGACACAGGUGGACAGAGUGAGAAACUUAAGGCCGACAGGAUAACUCUAGCUAAGGAACUCUGCAAAAUAGCCCCGUAACUUCGGGAGAAGGGGUACCUAAUAUACUUAAUUGGAGAGAUACCAAGAGGGGAAAUAGGUCGCAGUGAAGAGUCCCAAGCAACUGUUUACCAAAAACACAGGUCUAUGCUAAGCUGGAAGGCGACGUAUAUGGGCUGACACCUGCCCAGUGCCGGAAGGUUAAGAGGAGGAUUGAGAGAUUCGAAUUGAAGCCCCGGUGAACGGCGGCCGUAACUAUAACGGUCCUAAGGUAGCGAAAUUCCUUGUCGGGUAAGUUCCGACCUGCACGAAUGGUGAAAUGAUUUGGGAGCUGUCUUGGCUGGAGGCCUGGUGAAGUUGUAAUGUCGGUGAAGAUACCGAUUACCUGCAGUAGGACGGAAAGACCCCGUGGAGCUUUACUGUAGCUUGGCAUUGGGUUUUGGCAAUAUGUGUAUAGGAUAGUUGGGAGACUGUGAAGUGAUGGCGUUAGUUGUCAUGGAGUCGCUGUUGGAAUACCAACCAUAUAUUGUUGAAAUUCUAAUCUUUGAUUUGAAGUUAAGGAGACAGUGCUAGGUGGGCAGUUUGACUGGGGCGGUCGCCUCCAAAAGAGUAACGGAGGCGUUCAAAGGUUCCCUCAGGUUGGAUGGAAAUCAACCAAAGAGUGCAAACGCAAAAGAGAGCUUGACUGCGAGACUGACGGGUCGAGCAGGUACGAAGGUAGGAGUUAGUGAUCCGGCGGUACCGAAUGGAAGGGCCGUCGCUCAACGGAUAAAAGCUACCCCGGGGAUAACAGGCUGAUACUUCCCAAGAGUCCAUAUCGACGGAAGUGUUUGGCACCUCGAUGUCGGCUCGUCUCAUCCUGGGGCUGGAGAAGGUCCCAAGGGUUGGGCUGUUCGCCCAUUAAAGAGGCACGCGAGCUGGGUUCAGAACGUCGUGAGACAGUUCGGUCCCUAUCCACUGCAGGCGUAAGAAUAUUGAAGAGAUCUGUCCUUAGUACGAGAGGACCGGGAUGGACAAACCUCUGAUGUACCAGUUGUCACGCCAGUGGCAUGGCUGGGUAGUCACGUUUGGAAGGGAUAAUCGCUGAAAGCAUCUAAGCGUGAAGCCCACUUUGAGAUGAGUGUUCUUUUAAGUAUCCAUCGAGAACAGGUGGUGAUAGGCUAGAGGUGUAAGUGUAGUAAUACAUUUAGCUGACUAGUACUAAUAUUACGUACGC
RNAcentral lists this ribosomal RNA (1418 nucleotides) under metagenome. Its description in RNAcentral is "bacterial LSU rRNA". It matches the Rfam family "Bacterial large subunit ribosomal RNA", at positions 1495 to 2925 of the family's 2925-position model. The record is from RNAcentral.